Molecule: long non-coding RNA, 814 nt
Organism: Mugil cephalus (flathead mullet)
Lineage: Eukaryota; Metazoa; Chordata; Actinopteri; Mugiliformes; Mugilidae
Exons: 4
Source: RefSeq, a predicted model, not a curated record
CUCCCAGGGGAGCUACCUGUCCGCAGGGCCGCAGCGCCACUCUUCCCACGGAGCCCACAGGCACCCCGGAGCCGGAGGAGUGUUACAUUUUCAUCCAGAUAAUGUCUGCAAUGAGGAUCGGGACAAAAUGGAAGACAGCCCGAGCCCAAAAAGGCAGCGUCUUUCCCAGCAGUCCAUGUUAGAUCUAAGCUCCGCCCCUCCCUCCACUCCUUCCUCUCCCAUUCGCCCGUGGGAGCUGCCUCCGAGCCGCAGACCACACCCCCACUACAUGCCAGAGAGAUGCCACACACCUGUUCGAAAUCGUCGCAGGUUACUGCUCUGUUGUACAUGAUGACUCCAAGGAAGAUGCUGCCAUUCACCGCUGGAGCUCUGCUUCUUCUUUUACCCUGGUUUGGUGGCCUGACCUCUGGAGAGCUCAGCCCGUCAAAAUUUACCAUGUGCCAAAAGUUCUUCUACAACAAAACUCCACCAGAGGGUUUUGGAACAGGACAUCAGGCGAUAUGCCAGCGCUACGAAAAUAAAUACCGCUUUGCAACCCUUUAUGAUCGUCAGAAACGUACAGCACUGUUCUCUGCAUACCUGAUGAGCUCCUCAAAUGAAACAAGGCCAGCUGAAACUUGGAUGUAUGAACCACAGGUAAGAUAUAAGCAAUCAUAACUUCACUGAAACUGAGGACCUAUUGUAUUAUUGUUAAGAAUAUCCAAGUAGGAAUGUUCACACACAGGUGCUUGUAUUUUGUAAAAUAAAUAAAUAAAAUCCUUGGCAGUCUGUCUGAAACAUAACACACAUUUUCAUCGUCUGAAGAGUAGACACA